Molecule: unclassified non-coding RNA, 626 nt
Filed under: Hevea brasiliensis (rubber tree)
Lineage: Eukaryota; Viridiplantae; Streptophyta; Magnoliopsida; Malpighiales; Euphorbiaceae
Source: RNAcentral
GUAAAAUUCCAUUUUGUUGCUUGUUAGGUACUGCUUUUAAAUCAACUGCUGGAUGUUCUCAAUCAACAAGCAUUCAGCUUAGAUUUCAACUUCACCCGCAUGAUUAAUGCUCACGAAACUUUUAACUUGUUGCUUAAAGCCAUUCCUGGAGUUUUUGCAACAGGAAAACUGAAAAUUUUGGAUCACAAACAUUCAAUUUUGGCACGUGUACUAACAUUUUCAAUUUCAACAAGCGCUUUCAUCAUCUGUGGACAAAUACGAGGAAUUGACGCACUGAACUAUCAUAUUAGUCUCUACAAACGCUUUUACUGCUCAUGACUUGAUUAAUACCUUAUUGCAGAGCCGAUCUAACCACAUGGCUCUAAAGGCUCAAUAGUUCUUUCAAUAAAUUUCAUCCAGAGAUAUGAAGGAUGCAGCAACAGGCCCUUCCAAAACGGUGAAGAAAUACACAGUAGAGAGCAAGAGCCAGGUAGAGAUUACUGUUGAGAAAUGUGACAACUAAACGCCAUUUUCACUGAAUGAGAGAUAUAUCAGACAGGACAGGACCAUUGCCGUUUCCAGGUAAUUUAAUGAGACGCAUCGUCUUGUGCCAGAAGGAAAAAUCAAAUAACAAACCCAUCUUUCUU